GGGGUACUCGAGUGGCGAACGGGUGAGUAACACGUGGGUGAUCUGCCCUGCACUUCGGGAUAAGCCUGGGAAACUGGGUCUAAUACCGGAUAGGAGCCAUUUUUAGUGUGAUGGUUGGAAAGUUUUUCGGUGUAGGAUGAGCUCGCGGCCUAUCAGCUUGUUGGUGGGGUAAUGGCCUACCAAGGCGGCGACGGGUAGCCGGCCUGAGAGGGUGGACGGCCACAUUGGGACUGAGAUACGGCCCAG
RNAcentral lists this ribosomal RNA (246 nucleotides) under uncultured Actinomycetales bacterium. RNAcentral describes it as "partial 16S ribosomal RNA". It matches the Rfam family "Bacterial small subunit ribosomal RNA", at positions 84 to 334 of the family's 1533-position model. Lineage: Bacteria; Bacillati; Actinomycetota; Actinomycetes; Actinomycetales. The record is from RNAcentral.